ACGCUGGCGGCACGCCUAACACAUGCAAGUCGAACGGAGUAGCAAUACUCAGUGGCAGACGGGUGAGUAACAUGUAGGUAUCUGCCCUUUGGCCUGGAAUAACACGAGGAAACUUGUGCUAAUACCGGAUAAGUCUUUACGGAGAAAGCUUUAUGCACCAUUGGAUGAGCCUGCACUUGAUUAGUUUGUUGGUGGGGUAAUGGCCUACCAAGACUGUGAUCAAUAGCUGAUUUGAGAGGAUGAUCAGCCACAUUGGGACUGAGACACGGCCCAAACUCCUACGGGAGGCAGCAGUGGGGAAUCUUGCACAAUGGAGGAAACUCUGAUGCAGCGAUGCCGCGUGAGUGAAGAAGGCCCUUGGGUUGUAAAGCUCUUUCGUCGGGGAAGAAAAUGACUGUACCCGAAUAAGAAGGUCCGGCUAACUUCGUGCCAGCAGCCGCGGUAAUACGAAGGGACCUAGCGUAGUUCGGAAUUACUGGGCUUAAAGAGUUCGUAGGUGGUUGAAAAAGUUGGUGGUGAAAUCCCAGAGCUUAACUCUGGAACUGCCAUCAAAACUUUUCAGCUAGAGUUUGAUAGAGGAAAGCAGAAUUUCUAGUGUAGAGGUGAAAUUCGUAGAUAUUAGAAAGAAUACCAAUUGCGAAGGCAGCUUUCUGGAUCAUUACUGACACUGAGGAACGAAAGCAUGGGUAGCGAAGAGGAUUAGAUACCCUCGUAGUCCAUGCCGUAAACGAUGUGUGUUAGACGUUGGAGAUUUAUUUUCAGUGUCGCAGCGAAAGCGAUAAACACACCGCCUGGGGAGUAC
Molecule: ribosomal RNA, 802 nt
Filed under: uncultured Pelagibacteraceae bacterium
Lineage: Bacteria; Pseudomonadati; Pseudomonadota; Alphaproteobacteria; Candidatus Pelagibacterales; Candidatus Pelagibacteraceae
Description: bacterial SSU rRNA
Rfam family: Bacterial small subunit ribosomal RNA
Source: RNAcentral